This is a long non-coding RNA of Ornithorhynchus anatinus (platypus), 625 nucleotides long. RefSeq lists it as uncharacterized. The record is from RefSeq and is a predicted model, not a curated record. Lineage: Eukaryota; Metazoa; Chordata; Mammalia; Monotremata; Ornithorhynchidae. The transcript is spliced from 2 exons.
GUGGCAGAAGAUCAAGGUAAUGCAGCAACAGAAGAAGAGAGUGGUGGUUAAACGGAAGCUGUUAGUCACUUCAAGAACGUUUUUCUGCGGGGAGGGAGUCACUGAAGAAGGAUGAUUUCAGGUUGCCAUGAAGAAGCAGCCAAUCUUACGACCUGUCCACAUCUAUGUUCCCUAAAUAUGCCAAUGAUGUUGGGAAGGUUUAUUUGGUGAAUUUCUAGAAAAUACCUCCGGGUCACACUCUUCUGUCAGGCUCACCGAAGACUGAAAGAACGCAUGAGUCAGUGGCAACGAGGAGAACUCAACCAUAAACAAGCGAGACUGACAGACCGCGCUGAACACGAGGCGUUCCGAUCCCACAGGCCUCAGGAGAAUCCGCCGAAUGGCUGGGAGUUUGAAAAUUUUAUGAUCGAGAUUUUUAGAUUUAAUUGCCAACAGUCAGAAAGAACUCUCGCAGUGGGGGCGGAAGGCAGUGGAAGGGAACAGGGAAUGACAACCAGAUUCUUUUCAGAUGAAAACUCCAAACCCCCGCGAGGACAGAUCGAACUGGUUGAAGCUGAGCUGUGGCGGUGUCGGGGAGAUUAGGGCCGGACGCGGGAUACCUGAAAGGAGCUCGUUGGUUGAGGAA